UACGGGAGGAGCAGGGGGGAAUAUUGCACAAUGGGCGAAAGCCUGAUGCAGCUAUGCCGCGUGUAUGAAGAAGGCCUUAGGGUUGUAAAGUACUUUCAUCGGGGAGGAAAAAACAAAACUAAUAAUUUUAUUUCUUGACGUUACCCGAAAAAGAAGCACCGGCUAACUCCGUGCCAGCAGCCGCGGUAAUACGGAGGGUGCUAGCGUUAAUCAGAAUUACUGGGCGUAAAGAGCACGUAGGUGGUUUUUUUAAAGUCAGAUGUGAAAUCCCUGGGCUUAACCUAGGAACUGCAUUUUGAAACUGAAAUACUAGAGUAUCGUAGAGGGAGGUAGAAUUCUAGGUGUAGCGGUGAAAUGCGUAGAUAUCUGGAGGAAUACCUGUGGCGAAAGCGGCCUCCUAAACGAAUACUGACACUGAGGGUGCGAAAGCGUGGGGAGCAAACAGGGAUUAGAUACC
This 457-nucleotide ribosomal RNA is filed under the name uncultured bacterium. RNAcentral describes it as "bacterial SSU rRNA". It matches the Rfam family "Bacterial small subunit ribosomal RNA", at positions 340 to 786 of the family's 1533-position model. The record is from RNAcentral.